This 927-nucleotide ribosomal RNA is filed under the name uncultured Alphaproteobacteria bacterium. Its description in RNAcentral is "bacterial SSU rRNA". It matches the Rfam family "Bacterial small subunit ribosomal RNA", at positions 57 to 1026 of the family's 1533-position model. The record is from RNAcentral. Lineage: Bacteria; Pseudomonadati; Pseudomonadota; Alphaproteobacteria.
GCAAGUCGAACGAAGUAGCAAUACUUAGUGGCAGACGGGUGAGUAACAUGUAGGUAUCUACCCUUUGGCCUGGAAUAACACGAGGAAACUUGUGCUAAUACCGGAUAAGUCUUUACGGAGAAAGCUUUAUGCACCAUUGGAUGAGCCUGCACUAGAUUAGUUUGUUGGUGGGGUAAUGGCCUACCAAGACUAUGAUCUAUAGCUGAUUUGAGAGGAUGAUCAGCCACAUUGGAACUGAGACACGGUCCAAACUCCUACGGGAGGCAGCAGUAGGGAAUCUUGCACAAUGGAGGAAACUCUGAUGCAGCGAUGCCGCGUGAGUGAAGAAGGCCUUUGGGUUGUAAAGCUCUUUCGUCGGGGAAGAAAAUGACUGUACCCGAAUAAGAAGGUCCGGCUAACUUCGUGCCAGCAGCCGCGGUAAUACGAAGGGACCUAGCGUAGUUCGGAAUUACUGGGCUUAAAGAGUUCGUAGGUGGUUGAAAAAGUUGGUGGUGAAAUCCCAGAGCUUAACUCUGGAACUGCCAUCAAAACUUUUCAGCUAGAGUAUGAUAGAGGAAAGCAGAAUUUCUAGUGUAGAGGUGAAAUUCGUAGAUAUUAGAAAGAAUACCAAUUGCGAAGGCAGCUUUCUGGAUCAUUACUGACACUGAGGAACGAAAGCAUGGGUAGCGAAGAGGAUUAGAUACCCUCGUAGUCCAUGCCGUAAACGAUGUGUGUUAGACGUUGGAAAUUUAUUUUCAGUGUCGCAGGGAAACCGAUAAAACACACCGCCUGGGGAGUACGACCGCAAGGUAAAACUCAAAAUGAAAUGACGGGGACCCGCACAAGUAGUGGAGCAUGUGGUUUAAUUCGAAGAUACGCGCAAACCCUUACCAACACUUGAAAUGUUGGUCGCGCUUCUAAGAGAUUAGAGUUUCCGGUUCGGCCGGA